AGCCAUGCCGCGUGUGUGAAGAAGGCCUUCGGGUUGUAAAGCACUUUCAGUAAGGAGGAAAGGUUAAGUGUUAAUAGCACUUAGCUGUGACGUUACUUACAGAAGAAGCACCGGCUAACUCCGUGCCAGCAGCCGCGGUAAUACGGAGGGUGCGAGCGUUAAUCGGAAUUACUGGGCGUAAAGCGUACGCAGGCGGUUUGUUAAGCGAGAUGUGAAAGCCCCGGGCCAACCUGGGAACUGCAUUUCGAACUGGCAAACUAGAGUGUGAUAGAGGGUGGUAGAAUUUCAGGUGUAGCGGUGAAAUGCGUAGAGAUCUGAAGGAAUACCGAUGGCGAAGGCAGCCACCUGGGUCAACACUGACGCUCAUGUACGAAAGCGUGGGGAGCAAACAGGAUUAGAUACCCUGGUAGUCCACGCCGUAAACGAUGUCUACUAGAAGCUCGGUUCCUCGGAACUGUUUUUCAAAGCUAACGCAUUAAGUAGACGCCUGGGGAGUACGGCCGCAAGGUUAAAACUCAAAUGAAUUGACGGGGGCCCGCACAAGCGGUGGAGCAUGUGGUUUAAUUCGAUGCAACGCGAAGAACCUUACCUACACUUGACAUACAGAGAACUUACCAGAGAUGGUUUGGUGCCUUCGGGAACUCUGAUACAGGUGCUGCAUGGCUGUCGUCAGCUCGUGUUGUGAGAUGUUGGGUUAAGUCCCGCAACGAGCGCAACCC
Molecule: ribosomal RNA, 719 nt
Filed under: Pseudomonas sp. T14-03
Lineage: Bacteria; Pseudomonadati; Pseudomonadota; Gammaproteobacteria; Pseudomonadales; Pseudomonadaceae
Description: bacterial SSU rRNA
Rfam family: Bacterial small subunit ribosomal RNA
Source: RNAcentral